This 540-nucleotide ribosomal RNA is filed under the name uncultured bacterium. Its description in RNAcentral is "bacterial SSU rRNA". It matches the Rfam family "Bacterial small subunit ribosomal RNA", at positions 1 to 556 of the family's 1533-position model. The record is from RNAcentral.
UAUCGGGCGAUCGCCUUGAGUUGAUCAUGGCUCAGAGCGAACGCUGGCGGCAGGCCUAACACAUGCAAGUCGAGCGCCCCGCAAGGGGAGCGGCAGACGGGAGAGUAACACGUGGGAACGUACCCUUCAGUACGGAACAACCAAGGGAAACUUUGGCUAAUACCGUAUACGUCCGUAAGGAGAAAGAUUUAUCGCUGAAGGAUCGGCCCGCGUCUGAUUAGCUAGUUGGUGAGGUAAUGGCUCACCAAGGCGACGAUCGGUAGCUGGUCUGAGAGGAUGAUCAGCCACACUGGGACUGAGACACGGCCCAGACUCCUACGGGAGGCAGCAGUGGGGAAUUUUGGACAAUGGGGGCAACCCUGAUCCAGCCAUGCCGCGUGCGGGAAGAAGGCCUUCGGGUUGUAAACCGCUUUUGGUCGGGAAGAAAAGGCGCCGGAUAAUACCUGGCGUUCUUGACGGUACCGGCAGAAUAAGCACCGGCUAACUACGUGCCAGCAGCCGCGGUAAUACGUAGGGUGCGAGCGUUAAUCGGAAUUACUG